UACGUAGGCAGCAAGCGUUGUUCGGAGUUACUGGGCGUAAAGGGUGUGUAGGCGGUUGUUUAAGUUUGGUGUGAAAUCUCCCGGCUCAACUGGGAGGGUGCGCCGAAUACUGAAUGACUUCGAGUGCGGGAGAGGAGAGUGGAAUUCCUGGUGUAGCGGUGAAAUGCGUAGAUAUCAGGAGGAACACCGGCGGUGUAGACGGCUCUCUGGACCGUAACUGACGCUGAGACACGAAAGCGUGGGUAGCAAACAGG
This 254-nucleotide ribosomal RNA is filed under the name uncultured bacterium. RNAcentral describes it as "partial 16S ribosomal RNA". It matches the Rfam family "Bacterial small subunit ribosomal RNA", at positions 524 to 776 of the family's 1533-position model. The record is from RNAcentral.